AUAAUAUAAGGUCUGGCCUGCUCUAUGAUAAUAUUAAAUGGCCGCAGUAAUUUGACUGUGCUAAGGUAGCAUAAUCAUUAGUCUCUUAAUUAGAGGCUGGAAUGAAAGGUUUGAUGAGGGGAUAACUGUCUCUAAUUUUUUUAUAUAAUUUUAUUUUUAAGUAAGAAAGCUUAAAUUUUUUUGAAAGACGAGAAGACCCUGUAGAGUUUUAUAAAUUUUUAUUAUUAUUCAUUUUUGUAAAUUAUAGGGAUAAUGUGGGUGUUUAUUUGAUUGGGGUGAUUGUAAAAUUUGUAAAACUUUUACUUAUAUUAACACUGAUGAGUGAUGUUUUGAUCCGGGAGUACCGAUUAAAAGAAUAAAUUACCUCAGGGAUAACAGCGUAAUCUUUUUUUAGAGUUCUAAUCGAGAAAGGGGGUUGCGA
Molecule: ribosomal RNA, 421 nt
Filed under: Lachnaia hirta
Lineage: Eukaryota; Metazoa; Arthropoda; Insecta; Coleoptera; Chrysomelidae
Description: partial 16S large subunit ribosomal RNA
Rfam family: Bacterial large subunit ribosomal RNA
Source: RNAcentral